RNAcentral lists this long non-coding RNA (566 nucleotides) under Gossypium raimondii (Peruvian cotton). RNAcentral's name for it is "long non-coding RNA (GRAI_LNC009966)". Lineage: Eukaryota; Viridiplantae; Streptophyta; Magnoliopsida; Malvales; Malvaceae. The record is from RNAcentral.
ACCUUGUGUUAAUUAAAGAAAAUCCUCCAGCGGCUUCCAAAAUUAAAUCCGUAGUUGCUUCAAUUAGCGGCAUGCCAAUUAAUCAUCACCAGUUCUAAGUGUAAUUAAGAAAUUUGAUUACUCAAUUGCACUUAGAUGAUUAUGAGAAAAGUCCUAAAUUAAGUAGGUGAUCAAUCUAAUUGAUUUAGAAAAAUUCCUUGAACGAUAAAGCAAGCAACUCAAGAAUGCCAAAUCCAAAUUUAAACAAAAUAAAUCUACAAAUUCCUUGUGCUAGGUUUCAUAAGUGUCUAACUAAGCUUGAAUAUUCUAACCACUCAUACCAAUUGAAACGAAACAAGAAUCAAUUGUAAUCAGUAUAAAUUACAAACUGAGUCUUGCGGAAGAAAAUUCCUCCAAUCGUCGAGCUUCCUUUCUUCCGAUUAGCUGAAAUUUUGGACCGUUGCUUCCCUUGCUUGUUCUCGUUUUUGCUGAUUCAAUUUGAGGUUUUCCUUUGCUCGAGUGCCACGCCUCUCUGCUGCUAUAUUUUUUUCUCUGUUUUUCCGCACCUUUCUCAGCUGCUGUUCAUC